RNAcentral lists this ribosomal RNA (702 nucleotides) under uncultured bacterium. RNAcentral's name for it is "bacterial SSU rRNA". It matches the Rfam family "Bacterial small subunit ribosomal RNA", at positions 9 to 694 of the family's 1533-position model. The record is from RNAcentral.
GAGUUUGAUCCUGGCUCAGGACGAACGCUGGCGGCGUGCCUAAUACAUGCAAGUAGAACGCUGAAGACUUUAGCUUGCUAAAGUUGGAAGAGUUGCGAACGGGUGAGUAACGCGUAGGUAACCUGCCUACUAGCGGGGGAUAACUAUUGGAAACGAUAGCUAAUACCGCAUAACAGCAUUUAACCCAUGUUAGAUGCUUGAAAGGAGCAAUUGCUUCACUAGUAGAUGGACCUGCGUUGUAUUAGCUAGUUGGUGAGGUAACGGCUCACCAAGGCGACGAUACAUAGCCGACCUGAGAGGGUGAUCGGCCACACUGGGACUGAGACACGGCCCAGACUCCUACGGGAGGCAGCAGUAGGGAAUCUUCGGCAAUGGGGGCAACCCUGACCGAGCAACGCCGCGUGAGUGAAGAAGGUUUUCGGAUCGUAAAGCUCUGUUGUAAGAGAAGAACGUGUGUGAGAGUGGAAAGUUCACACAGUGACGGUAACUUACCAGAAGGGGACGGCUAACUACGUGCCAGCAGCCGCGGUAAUACGUAGGUCCCGAGCGUUGUCCGGAUUUAUUGGGCGUAAAGCGAGCGCAGGCGGUUUAAUAAGUCUGAAGUUAAAGGCAGUGGCUUAACCAUUGUUCGCUUUGGAAACUGUUAGACUUGAGUGCAGAAGGGGAGAGUGGAAUUCCAUGUGUAGCGGUGAAAUGCGUAGA